UGGGGAAUAUUGCACAAUGGGCGCAAGCCUGAUGCAGCCAUGCCGCGUGUAUGAAGAAGGCCUUCGGGUUGUAAAGUACUUUCAGCGAGGAGGAAGGCGGUAAGGUUAAUAACCUUAUCGAUUGACGUUACUCGCAGAAGAAGCACCGGCUAACUCCGUGCCAGCAGCCGCGGUAAUACGGAGGGGGCAAGCGUUAAUCGGAAUUACUGGGCGUAAAGCGCACGCAGGCGGUCUGUCAAGUCGGAUGUGAAAUCCCCGGGCUCAACCUGGGAACUGCAUUCGAAACUGGCAGGCUAGAGUCUUGUAGAGGGGGGUAGAAUUCCAGGUGUAGCGGUGAAAUGCGUAGAGAUCUGGAGGAAUACCGGUGGCGAAGGCGGCCCCCUGGACAAAGACUGACGCUCAGGUGCGAAAGCGUGGGGAGCAAACA
RNAcentral lists this ribosomal RNA (427 nucleotides) under uncultured bacterium. RNAcentral's name for it is "partial 16S ribosomal RNA". It matches the Rfam family "Bacterial small subunit ribosomal RNA", at positions 355 to 774 of the family's 1533-position model. The record is from RNAcentral.